GAUUCCCCCAGUAGCGGCGAGCGAACGGGGAGGAGCCCAGAGCCUGAAUCAGUGUGUGUGUUAGUGGAAGCGUCUGGAAAGGCGCGCGAUACAGGGUGACAGCCCCGUACACAAAAAUGCACAUGCUGUGAGCUCGAUGAGUAGGGCGGGACACGUGGUAUCCUGUCUGAAUAUGGGGGGACCAUCCUCCAAGGCUAAAUACUCUUGACUGACCGAUAGUGAACCAGUACCGUGAGGGAAAGGCGAAAAGAACCCCGGCGAGGGGAGUGAAAAAGAACCUGAAACCGUGUACGUACAAGCAGUGGGAGCACGCUUAGGCGUGUGACUGCGUACCUUUUGUAUAAUGGGUCAGCGACUUAUAUUCUGUAGCAAGGUUAACCGAAUAGGGGAGCCGAAGGGAAACCGAGUCUUAACUGGGCGUUAAGUUGCAGGGUAUAGANCCGAAACCCGGUGAUCUAGCCAUGGGCAGGUUGAAGGUUGGGUAACACUAACUGGAGGACCGAACCGACUAAUGUUGAAAAUUAGCGGAUGACUUGUGGCUGGGGUGAAAGGCCAAUCAAACCGGGAGAUAGCUGGUUCUCC
Molecule: ribosomal RNA, 582 nt
Filed under: Escherichia coli
Lineage: Bacteria; Pseudomonadati; Pseudomonadota; Gammaproteobacteria; Enterobacterales; Enterobacteriaceae
Description: bacterial LSU rRNA
Rfam family: Bacterial large subunit ribosomal RNA
Source: RNAcentral